This is a long non-coding RNA of Herpailurus yagouaroundi (jaguarundi), 354 nucleotides long. RefSeq lists it as uncharacterized. Lineage: Eukaryota; Metazoa; Chordata; Mammalia; Carnivora; Felidae. The record is from RefSeq and is a predicted model, not a curated record. The transcript has 4 exons.
UUUUGCUCCCAGGUCAAAUCUUCAAUAUCCACAUUUCCUUGAAUAUCCGUCCUGAAGAAUUUCAAAGGCAAAAUGGCCAAAAAAAGAAAAUAAAGAACAUGUUCAAAGAUACUACAAUGACAUUCUAUGGAACAAAUGAUCUAGUCUCUUUAAUAAGUCUCUGUCUUGAAAAAAGGAAAUCUACUAAGAAUACCUACUAAGCCCCACACACAGUGCUAAGCACAGGGGUUAUAAAGACAGGAAGGCAGGAAGCCCAAUUGAAAAUUCCCAGUCUCCCUUGCAGUUCAGCAAAGCUAUGUAACUAAGUUCUGGUCAAUGAAAUCUUGAUGAGAUAAAAUUGACAUAUAAAAUGGU